AGACCAUGAUAUGGACACUUUCUCUACAAAUCUUUAUAUCUUUCCCAAGCUUCGUACAAAGAUUCACCAUCCAAUUACACAAAACUAAUAAUAUCAUUUCUAAGUUU
Molecule: small nucleolar RNA, 107 nt
Organism: Elaeis guineensis (African oil palm)
Lineage: Eukaryota; Viridiplantae; Streptophyta; Magnoliopsida; Arecales; Arecaceae
Source: RefSeq, a predicted model, not a curated record